GGGUGUAUAACUCAGCGGUUAGAGUAUGCUCCCUAACAAAUUCCCAUAUAUGGCGAUACUGAUUCGGAUGUGCGCUAGGUGUGAGAUUGCAGCGAGCAAUUUAUCUCAAGGUCGCUGGUUCGAGUCCGGCUAUACCCU
Molecule: transfer RNA, 138 nt
Filed under: Imshaugia aleurites
Lineage: Eukaryota; Fungi; Ascomycota; Lecanoromycetes; Lecanorales; Parmeliaceae
Description: tRNA-Val
Rfam family: tRNA
About the family: Transfer RNA (tRNA) molecules are approximately 80 nucleotides in length. Their secondary structure includes four short double-helical elements and three loops (D, anti-codon, and T loops).
Source: RNAcentral